Molecule: ribosomal RNA, 162 nt
Filed under: Mesotoga sp. Brook.08.YT.4.2.5.4.
Lineage: Bacteria; Thermotogati; Thermotogota; Thermotogae; Kosmotogales; Kosmotogaceae
Description: partial 16S ribosomal RNA
Rfam family: Bacterial small subunit ribosomal RNA
Source: RNAcentral
UGGAUGGAGGGUUUGAUCCUGGCUCAGGGUGAACGCUGGCGGCGUGCUUGACACAUGCAAGUCGAACGGUAUGUGGCAACACAUAGAGUGGCGAACGGGUGAGUAACACGUGGGAACGUACCUACGCAGGGGGAUAACUGACCGAAAGGACAGCUAAUACCG